UGGGGAAUUUUGGACAAUGGGGGAAACCCUGAUCCAGCCAUCCCGCGUGUGCGAUGAAGGCCUUCGGGUUGUAAAGCACUUUUGGCAGGAAAGAAACGUCAUGGGUUAAUACCCCGUGAAACUGACGGUACCUGCAGAAUAAGCACCGGCCAACUACGUGCCAGCAGCCGCGGUAAUACGUAGGGUGCAAGCGUUAAUCGGAAUUACUGGGCGUAAAGCGUGCGCAGGCGGUUCGGAAAGAAAGAUGUGAAAUCCCAGAGCUCAACUUUGGAACUGCAUUUUUAACUACCGGGCUGGAGUGUGUCAGAGGGAGGUGGAAUUCCGCGUGUAGCAGUGAAAUGCGUAGAUAUGCGGAGGAACACCGAUGGCGAAGGCAGCCUCCUGGGAUAACACUGACGCUCAUGCACGAAAGCGUGGGGAGCAAACAGG
RNAcentral lists this ribosomal RNA (429 nucleotides) under Acidobacteriota bacterium. Its description in RNAcentral is "Acidobacteria bacterium partial 16S ribosomal RNA". It matches the Rfam family "Bacterial small subunit ribosomal RNA", at positions 355 to 776 of the family's 1533-position model. Lineage: Bacteria; Pseudomonadati; Acidobacteriota. The record is from RNAcentral.